Odontomachus brunneus is the source of this 5510-nucleotide long non-coding RNA. RefSeq lists it as uncharacterized. The record is from RefSeq and is a predicted model, not a curated record. Lineage: Eukaryota; Metazoa; Arthropoda; Insecta; Hymenoptera; Formicidae. The transcript is spliced from 11 exons.
UGUACCUGGAACACACGCCGCGUCAUCGGGAAGCGCGAUUAGCAAUGCGUGCAUCGAAGGGAGAAGGCCUCGCGCGGAUUUCGUUGCACAAACUGCGAUCGAAUCAAAUCAGAAGAGGAAUCGAGUCAGGCGCGAUAAUAGCAAGGACUGGGAGUGCUGAAGAUAAUGUAAAAGAGCCAAUUUCCUCUAGUUGUCCGAAAUUGAUCUAAAAAAAUUAAUAUUUUCAGAAAGUCUAUUUUUGAGAUCGACAAUUUAACAUAGAACUUUGUAUUGCAGGAUUUAGUUGACGGUACUCUUAAAAUUCUUUGGAGUGAAUCUCAUACUAAAGAAGGGUUCGCCGUGAGCUCGUCGUGAUCGACCAUUCGCGGUUUGCGAUCUCUUAGUCUUUCUUUUUCCGAAAUUCGCCGGCACCGGUAAGAAUCGUAGGAAGGACUCCAUCACGAGCCACGAGCCACAAGUUUCAAUCACGUCCUGGCUCGUUCUUUCUUCCUCUCUCGGCCAACAACGCUUCUUAUUUCCGCGCGGGACGAUUACGCAGAUUGGAAGGUUGAAGCGUAACGCGCUCGAUCGUUGCGAAUACAACGCGAUGAAAGAGAUUCCUCCAAGAACGAGGCGGAAAGUUUUGUUCUCGUGCAAUCUUAUACAUAUUAAUGCGUCUCCGGGUAAAACGGAAUCGUCGCGCGCUGGAUCUUACACGGGCUGCAUGUUAACUCAAGUCCGAGACACGUGAGCGUAAGAUGACGUCGGGAAAUACGUCGAGUCGGUCGACGCAACGAUAUUUACAUGCACGCACACUCUUAUCCUUGCAGGAUUUCCUCAAUCAGAUCCACAUUUGUCGCAACGAGCUUUGUCACUCCAAUGAUAUUGCAAGACGAAUCGUGAAGGCGUAUAUAUUCAGCAAAAACUUGAGACUUGUAAAAAGAUCGACACGACCAAGAGAAAGAGAAAUAGGCAAAUUGCUCUCUCAUCCGGAUGUUGCUUUAAUAUUCGGACAUCGUCGGAUCAGAUCCACAUUCAACGAGCUUUGUCACUCUAAUGAUGUCGCAAGACGAAUCGUGAAGACAUGUAUAUUCCGAGAACAAGAACUCAAGGCUCGUAAAAAAGUCCCGACACGACCAAGAGAGAAAGAGACAGUCUGCAUCCGACUUCGUCAUUAGUCAUCGUCGUCCGUCUCCCUCCUCGUUCUCACGACGAGGAAAGAACACGAGCGCCGCGAGAGGAGGAGAAAAAACGUGAAGAAGAAAAAAGGAAAGCGAAACGAGCAGCGAGAGGAGUCGCGCGACGAGGGAAGGGGUGCAGAGAACGGGCGACUCUAAAUCGCACAAGCGGGACGAGCGACCGGCUAUUUUCACGGGUCCUUUUGUUUUUCGGUAGGCGUCGCCGCGCGGCGCCUUUUUGCGCACCGUCCGGGUCCGUCCACUGCAAUGGUCCCUCCAGAGGAGAGCGCUCGAGCACAUUCGUCAACGAUAUCCUGACAGAAAGGACGACGCAAGCGGCGAGGGGCAUACGGAUCACUCGGCCAGAGGAAGCUCCGUUGCAGACAAUUGCGUCAGUUGUUAGAAAUGUUUGCGAGAUCAGCAAACAUUUGGAAUAUUCACAUGCCGACGGUAUGGAUUCGGCAAAUAGGAAUUACGCUCAACGAAUUGAGGAGUGAGAAUUUGGAAGAGGAAUUCUCCUCUCGAAUCACGGCCGAAUCUUCCGAGCGAUCGACGAGGGGCCGUUUAUAUAUCUCGGCCGUUAUCGGGAGCCGCACGCGCUCCUCUUUAUCGCGCGUUCUAUCUGCCUCGCGAAUCUCUCCCUUAAUUAUUGCGUCGCGACGGGGCACGUCGCCGGCACAAUGCGCGCGGACACGUGUGGCCGUGCGCCGCUCUUUCAUUCCCUCUCGCUUAUUGUCCAUUAAAACAAAAAACAGAGUCCGCGGGUCGUCCUGCGAAAACAACGCGCGCGCCACGCGGAAUCCAAAUGAAUCGCUUCCGAAUCCGUUUCGUACCUCUAACGAGGAGACACGAGAGAGAGAGAGAGAGAGAGAGAGAGAGAGAGAGAGAGAGAGAGAGAGAGAGAGAGGCUGCAAGCACUCAAAAGAAAGUGGAAGAGUCCCCACUUCCAAGGCGUGCUAGCUGUGUGAUAAAACCACUGAUGAGACACCGGCAAGGAAGAGGUGUAGAUAAUUGAGACUCCUCUGAGAAAAAAAGGAACAAAAAUGCGGCAAAGGCUACGGAGAGGAUUUUAGGACUUUUCGUUCAUCCUUUGCAAGAGAGUUGCGGAGAUUUACGAGCCAUUAUACACCGAAUAACUGGCGCGGGGUAUCGAAGCAUCUGGCUUAGCGGCGUUUGAUGGAUUUUGAGAGAGGACUAAUUGCCGCCGGUGGGGCGUACCAACUAACAGGCGCAGCUUUUACUCCUCUCGACGAUUACGACUCGACAAAAUGACAGGGCUAGGAAACUCUGACGUUUAUCUUGUCUCUCUGAUACUCGGCGAUAUUUCUGCAGUGUACGUUCGUCAAGAGGACAAUAAUCUUGUGGAAAUUAUGAUUAGGAACAGUGUAUCGGACAAUGAGAAACAACAUGCGAUACGAAGCGGCAUUCCCCGUAAAGAUGAGCGCGCGCAUUUUGCAAAAUGGCGUCACGACGCUAUCGAUCGCGAUGGCGAAGCUGAGGCGUCGGCCGCGACGCCCGCGUAUCAAAUUGCCGGUGAUGUACUUCGACCAGAGCCCGAGUGCAAUAGUAUUAUAUUUUGCAAAAAAUUCCAAGGAUAAUCUUUGUCAAAUUCCGAUCGAGUCAAUUGCCGAUCAACUUAGCCGAGGACAACGUCGACUCACCUUGCCGUGCUCUUUGUCGAAGUCGCAGUCGCAAGGGUCGACGGGAUAGUUGCCAGACGCACCACCGAAGACAAGCUGAAGAUUAGUACCCGUUGCCGCAAAUGCAAUCUCUGUGUGACCCUCUCGACAGCCAUUUUGAAAUCGCACUUGUCGCUCUUCCAUCGGCCGGUCUCUGUAGCCCGUAUAUCUCACCUUCAACACAGAAGACGAAAGAAAACGAUAUUUAGGUGAACAUGCGUCGAUUUGAUGACCGAGUCAAUCGCACAGAUCGACCGCUGCUUCCUCUCAAACUGCCUAACUUUGAAGCUCAGAUCACCGGGCUCGCACAAUUAACAAACGGAGCGAACGCGAAGUAUCAAUCCGUCGAGCUCUACAACGCUCGUCACGAUCCGAAGGCUAGACUGUUAAUUCGUGGAAAAGACGGCAUUCCUGCGGCAUGAUUUCGCGUGUUCCACGUGACUCCACAGGCGUAACGACUCUCGGAAUCCCUCAUCAUCGAAAUUUCUCGCCGCGUCACAUUCUUGCUGACCUGUUUCAAUCCAACCGAUCGACGCCGUACCCAUUUCUGCUACAUUUCGUAGCGCGUUGCAGACUCGCACGAAUUUACAUCCUAUGACAGUGUAUAAGAUACAUUACGUUGGUAUAAUAUAGCGAGACCGGCAAAUCUCCAUGGAGCCCUUCAUGGAUACAAUAUCUGGCAAGUACGUGCCGCAAACGGAGAGAAGGAAAAAAGGGAGUGUGCCCAUUUUGAGGUACUGCCGGAUGCUGCCUCUGCUUAGGCUUAGGUAUAACACUCCCUCCGUUGUAUCCCCUCGAGGAAAGAGGUCUUUAUCGUCUCUCGAGUGGCGGAGCUCGUUCAUUCGGGGACAUUAUUGUCCAAGAUUACGAUCGACAACCUUCCGUAAACGCGACUCACGUUACCGUUCAUGGAUACCCCAUUUAUCCUUUUUCUCGCUUUUCAUCCUGCGGCACGUGGACAGGAACACCAACGUUCCUCGGUUUUGCCGUUAAUCCCGUCAUUGAUUUUUUGCAUUAGUAAUAACAUUAUAAUGAGAAACUUAACGGAAAAAUGUUUCCGCGUUUUUUCCUCGCUACAUAGAGAGAAUUUUAUAGUAAAAAUUACUAUAGAAUUUUUCGCAUCUGUGAAACAUCGACAAUUCGUUCAUUUUGUGUAUUAUUUUAGGAACUAAAAUGUUCUAUUAAAAGUUUGUUAUAUUUCAAGAGAAAUUUACUAUAUUCCUUAAGACUUUACUGACAGUCCAUUUUUACAUUAUUGAAGAAACAUAGUAAAAUCGAAGAGAACUUGAACUAUGAAAAAGAACUAUGGUAUUUUCUCCAUUUAGAAAUUAUUUGUCAUCAUUCAAUCAAUUAUUUUCUUUAUUAUCUUUACAAAACAUAAAGUAUCGUUAUAAGUUUUCUAUUCAACAUUUCUCUAAUGUUUUUCAUUGUUUUAGUGAUACAUCAGCAAACAUGUGAAAGAUCGUAUUCUCUCCGAGGAAAACGUUUUCCAUUGACUGUUUUUCGAAAGCGAAACGAAAAAUGGAUACGUCAUUAGUUUCUUCGCAUAAAUAGCAAGCGUAGCGAACGGGAUUUCACGCUCGUGCCUCGUCAAGAGAAACAAAUCUCCGCCUCUUGUCGCGCGUCAUUGGUCCAGCAACUUCGCCAAUCGCGAUGUCGUACCUCGACGAACGAAGGGAGAAAUGCACACGAAUGCACGCACGCACACACGCGUGCUCGUGCGCUCGCUCGUACGCUGUGCGUGCGACCGUCCGUCGUGCGUGCGUAUGGCACGUCGUCAACUGUGUGUGCGAACGUAUGUCGUUUGUCAGACAAGAAAGGCGAAAAGCACGAAGCGACGUGAAUCGUCUCGCUAUGCCGGCUGACAUGAAGAGAUUAGGCCUGUUCUCUUCCAAAGAGAUUCCCAAAUUAGCAUACACUGGUGUCCAUAAGUUAAAGUGAUACAAGUAUAUGUUUGUUUCACUCUAACUUAUCACAACAGUAUACACCAGUUCAGAAGGGGCUUCGAAAAAGAACAGAUCUAAUAAUAUAUAUCCAAAUAUCACAGAGAAUUCAAAAAGAAUUCAAUCGUAUGUCACCAAUUCUGAGUUCAUUUUCAGAUGCAAAAAGAAUUCUUCAAAGUUCAGUGAAAAGAAUCCUUUUUGCAUCUAAAAAUAAACUCAGAAUUGCUGACAUACGACUCAAUUCUUUUUCAAUUAUCUAUAUUAUCUGCAUAUUCAGCAAAGAAAACUGCUUCGUUUCUGUAAAAACUUUGUAAGCUGCUUUAUAAAAUUCGCGAAUCUGAUCGAUGUAUAUUUUUAAUGUUUGCUAACAUCUAUCGAUCAGAUUGACAAAUUUUACAACAGUUGCAAAGCAGCUUUCUCUGCUGAAUGCUCUUCAAUCAAUAGUUCGUUGUCUGUUUACUUUGUGCAUGCAUUUAAAUGCACUCGUGAGAUAUGCAACAUGCGUGAAAUCACGCAAUCUUAUCUCGAGCUCUCGAUUUAUAUAGAGAUAUUUUUCACAGAAAUAUUAACCAGGACGGCAAUAUGCAAAUAAAGUCCGUGCUCUGUUUGCAUGUCGAGGAACGACGGCGAGGGCGAAAUCGAUAUCGCGACGCCAGAGUCUGUUGCCAGAGAAACUCAGCGCUUGUACGCUAUACAGCGUAAAUACUCGUGAAGAUCGCGAUUGAGUACGU